AAAAUUGUUAAAAGACUACCUAUAAAUACAACAUAAUUUGCUUGAUUUCUUGUCACCAGAUCAGGAAACGAAGUGAGAGAAGCACUGAUACAGCAGUAAAAUAUUAAGUUUAUUUCUCAUGGCAUCGACCAAAUCAUCAUCAGUGACAAUACUAGAAGUUUGCAAGGUUGCUCAACCUAACCUGUCACCGGAGUCGGCCACAGAAUUGUCUCUCCCUCUUACCUUCUUUGAUUCCACAUGGCUGAAUUUCCCUCCAAGCCAGUGCCUCUUCUUUUACAAAUUUACUGAGUCAAUUACUUCUGCUUUCUUUCACUCGGAAAUCCUCCCCAAACUCAAACGAUCACUCUCGCACACCCUCUUCCACUUCCCUCCUCUUGCCGGCCACCUCACUUGGCCUCCUCAUUCUACCAGACCCAUCAUCCUUUACUCUCCAAAUGAUGCCGUUUCGCUCACAGUUGCGGAGACUAAUGCCGAUAUUGAUAGACACAUGGGCAAUCAGGUCCGUGACGUUUCCGAGUCGCGUCCUUAUGUACCAGAGUUGCCAAUAUCGGAAACAACGUCACCAACAAUGGCCUUGCAGAUAACAGUACGUCCUGGUAAAGGAUUUACCGUUGGCAUCACCACACACCAUGCAGUUUUUGAUGGAAAGAGUGCUUACAUGUUCUUGAAGGCAUGGUCCUAUAUAUGCAAACACAGUGAUGAAAACGGAAAUUCCUUCCCUUUAUCACAGGAAUUAAUCCCGUUGUUUGACCGGACAAUUAUCAAAGACCCUGCCAGACUCGAAUCUAUGUACCUGAACCAAUGGAUGGACUCAAACAGAAAGUAUUCAGAGUCAUCCAACCCACGAAGCUUGGAAGUGUUGCGAUUUUUCUUUGAUGUGCCACCCAAUGACUUGGUUCGAUCCGCGUUUAAGCUGAGCAGCGAAAGCCUUGGAAAAAUCAGGGAAAGUGUACUGCUUCACCACCAACAGCAGCAGGCUGCAGGGCUAAAUACUGUUAAAAAACUUCGCCUCUCUGCAUUUGUGCUCACAUGUUCUUACACGUUAGUCUGCAUGGUGAAGGCAAAAGGAGAAGUUAGUGGUAAAAAGGUUAUAUUUGUGUUUGCUGUGGAUUGUAGGAGCCGUUCGAGCAUAAAUCCCCCAAUUCCACUGAAUUAUUUUGGGAAUUCUGUAUGUCUCCAUGACUUGUCUGCAGAAGCUGAAGAUUUUGUGGGUGAAAACGGAGUUGCCAUUAUAGCUGAGAGGUUGAGUGACUAUGUAAAUGGACUGGACAAGUUACUUUUUGAAGAAGCAAAGGAGAGGAUAGAAAGAAUGAGUGUUGUAGGACCAGAGGUGCUGAAGUUUGGGAUAGCUGGGUCGACGAAGCUGGCGUUUUACAAUGUAGAUUUUGGAUGGGGAAAGCCUGAGAUGGUGGAGAUACCGUCCAUAGAUCAUGACAAUGCUUUUUCCCUGAUGGAAGGUAGAGAUGGAAAGGGAGAAGU
This 1479-nucleotide unclassified non-coding RNA is filed under the name Hevea brasiliensis (rubber tree). The record is from RNAcentral. Lineage: Eukaryota; Viridiplantae; Streptophyta; Magnoliopsida; Malpighiales; Euphorbiaceae.